RNAcentral lists this ribosomal RNA (1468 nucleotides) under human gut metagenome. RNAcentral describes it as "bacterial LSU rRNA". It matches the Rfam family "Bacterial large subunit ribosomal RNA", at positions 1071 to 2569 of the family's 2925-position model. The record is from RNAcentral.
CGAUGUUUUGCUGCAGAGACAGCUAGGAUGUUAGCUUAGAAGCAGCUAUUCAUUCAAAGAGUGCGUAACAGCUCACUAGUCGAGCGGCAAAGCGUGGAUAAUAAACGGGCAUCAAGUAUACCACCGAAGUUCUGGGCACGAAAGUGCGGUAGGGGAGCAUUCCAUUCCGCGUUGAAGCCGAACCGUGAGGUUUGGUGGAGUGUAUGGAAAAGCAAAUGUAGGCAUGAGUAACGAUAAUGCGGGAGAGUAACCCGCACACCGCAAGACCAAGGUUUCCUGAUCAACGCUAAUCGGAUCAGGGUUAGUCGGGUCCUAAGGGUAAGCCGAACGGUGAUCUCGAUGGAUAAUCGGUUAAUAUUCCGAUACUGACAUAUACCUCGAUGGAGAGACGAAGGAACGUAAGUGCCGCCACCUGACGGAAUAGGUGGUUAAAGGGCUUAGGUAUAGGGGCAGAUUAAGAGUUAGUCCUUGCUGAAACCUGACAGUACAGAGAGCCUACGGGCAAUUUGAUAGUGCACCCAAGUCGACUUCCGAGAAAAUCUUCUAAGUUAUAGUAUAUGUCACCCGUACCGUAAACCGACACAGGUGGUCGAGGAGAGUAUCCUAAGGUGCUCGAGUGAAUCACGGUUAAGGAACUAGGCAAAUUAACCCCGUAACUUCGGGAAAAGGGGUCCCAUCGCGAGGUGGGCGCAGCGAAGAGGUCCAGGCGACUGUUUAUCAAAAACACAGGGCUCUGCAAAUUCGAAAGAAGACGUAUAGGGCCUGACACCUGCCCGGUGCUGGAAGGUUAAGAGGGGAUGUCAUCGCAAGAGAAGCAUUGAAUCGAAGCCCCAGUAAACGGCGGCCGUAACUAUAACGGUCCUAAGGUAGCGAAAUUCCUUGUCGGGUAAGUUCCGACCUGCACGAAUGGUGUAACGAUCUGGACACUGUCUCAACCGUGAGCUCGGUGAAAUUGUAGUCCCGGUGAUGAUGCCGGGUACCCGCAACGGGACGAAAAGACCCCGUGAACCUUUACUAUAGCUUAACGCUGAAUUUGGGUACACAAUGUGUAGGAUAGGCAGGAGACUACGAAGCGGGCACGCCAGUGUUCGUGGAGUCGACGUUGAAAUACUGCCCUUUGUGUACUUGAGUUCUAACCCUCGAGAGGGGACACCGUUUGGUGGGUAGUUUGACUGGGGUGGUCGCCUCCAAAAGAGUAACGGAGGCUUCCCAAGGUACCCUCAGCACGAAUGGUAACCGUGCGUAGAGUGCAAUAGCAUAAGGGUGCUUGACUGUGAGACCAACAAGUCGAUCAGGUGCGAAAGCAGGGUAUAGUGAUCCGGUGGUUCUGCGUGGACUGGCCAUCGCUCAAAGGAUAAAAGGUACUCCGGGGAUAACAGGCUGAUCGCCGCCAAGAGCUCAUAUCGACGCGGCGGUUUGGCACCUCGAUGUCGGCUCGUCACAUCCUGGGGCUGGAGAAGGUCCCAAG